This 253-nucleotide ribosomal RNA is filed under the name uncultured bacterium. RNAcentral describes it as "partial 16S ribosomal RNA". It matches the Rfam family "Bacterial small subunit ribosomal RNA", at positions 524 to 776 of the family's 1533-position model. The record is from RNAcentral.
UACGUAGGGUGCAAGCGUUAAUCGGAAUUACUGGGCGUAAAGCGUGCGCAGGCGGUUAUGUAAGUCAGAUGUGAAAUCCCCGGGCUCAACCUGGGAACUGCAUUUGUGACUGCAUGGCUAGAGUACGGUAGAGGGGGAUGGAAUUCCGCGUGUAGCAGUGAAAUGCGUAGAUAUGCGGAGGAACACCGAUGGCGAAGGCAAUCCCCUGGACCUGUACUGACGCUCAUGCACGAAAGCGUGGGGAGCAAACAGG